This is a regulatory RNA element of Paucibacter sp. KCTC 42545, 61 nucleotides long. It matches the Rfam family "COG3860 RNA". The record is from Rfam. Lineage: Bacteria; Pseudomonadati; Pseudomonadota; Betaproteobacteria; Burkholderiales; Sphaerotilaceae.
GGGUCAGCAGCACACCCAGGCCUUGCCGCACGACGCAGAGCGUCGUGAGCUAAACCUGCUA